This 468-nucleotide ribosomal RNA is filed under the name uncultured bacterium. RNAcentral describes it as "partial 16S ribosomal RNA". It matches the Rfam family "Bacterial small subunit ribosomal RNA", at positions 28 to 507 of the family's 1533-position model. The record is from RNAcentral.
GACGAACGCUGGCGGCGUGCUUAACACAUGCGAGUCGAACGGAAAGGCCCUGCUUUUGUGGGGUGCUCGAGUGGCGAACGGGUGAGUAACACGUGAGUAACCUGCCCUUGACUUUGGGAUAACUUCAGGAAACUGGGGCUAAUACCGGAUAGGGGCUCCUGCUGCAUGGUGGGGGUUGGAAAGUUUCGGCGGUUGGGGAUGGACUCGCGGCUUAUCAGCUUGUUGGUGGGGUAGUGGCUUACCAAGGCUUUGACGGGUAGCCGGCCUGAGAGGGUGACCGGCCACAUUGGGACUGAGAUACGGCCCAGACUCCUACGGGAGGCAGCAGUGGGGAAUAUUGCACAAUGGGCGGAAGCCUGAUGCAGCAACGCCGCGUGCGGGAUGACGGCCUUCGGGUUGUAAACCGCUUUCGCCUGUGACGAAGCGUGAGUGACGGUAAUGGGUAAAGAAGCACCGGCUAACUACGUG